UGGGGAAUAUUGGACAAUGGGGGAAACCCUGAUCCAGCGAUGCCGCGUGGGUGAAGAAGGCCUUCGGGUUGUAAAGCCCUUUAGGUUGGGAAGAAGUGCAGUAGUUUAAGAGAUAAUUGCAUUGACGGUACCAACAAAAUAAGCACCGGCAAACUCUGUGCCAGCAGCCGCGGUAAUACAGAGGGUGCGAGCGUUAAUCGGAUUUACUGGGCGUAAAGGGCGCGUAGGCGGUUAUAUCAGUGUUAUGUGAAAGCCCUGGGCUUAACCUAGGAAGUGCAUAGCAAACAAUAUAGCUAGAGUAGAUGAGAGGGUGAUGGAAUUUCCGGUGUAGCGGUGAAAUGCGUAGAGAUCGGAAGGAACAUCGAUGGCGAAGGCAAUCACCUGGCAUCAUACUGACGCUGAGGCGCGAUAGCGUGGGGAGCAAACAGG
Molecule: ribosomal RNA, 429 nt
Filed under: uncultured bacterium
Lineage: Bacteria
Description: bacterial SSU rRNA
Rfam family: Bacterial small subunit ribosomal RNA
Source: RNAcentral